RNAcentral lists this ribosomal RNA (497 nucleotides) under uncultured bacterium. Its description in RNAcentral is "partial 16S ribosomal RNA". It matches the Rfam family "Bacterial small subunit ribosomal RNA", at positions 28 to 507 of the family's 1533-position model. The record is from RNAcentral.
GAUGAACGCUGGCGGCGUGCCUAAUACAUGCAAGUCGAGCGAACAGACGAGGAGCUUGCUCUUCUGAUGUUAGCGGCGGACGGGUGAGUAACACGUGGAUAACCUACCUAUAAGACUGGGAUAACUUCGGGAAACCGGAGCUAAUACCGGAUAAUAUUUUGAACCGCAUGGUUCAAAAGUGAAAGACGGUCUUGCUGUCACUUAUAGAUGGAUCCGCGCUGCAUUAGCUAGUUGGUAAGGUAACGGCUUACCAAGGCAACGAUGCAUAGCCGACCUGAGAGGGUGAUCGGCCACACUGGAACUGAGACACGGUCCAGACUCCUACGGGAGGCAGCAGUAGGGAAUCUUCCGCAAUGGGCGAAAGCCUGACGGAGCAACGCCGCGUGAGUGAUGAAGGUCUUCGGAUCGUAAAACUCUGUUAUUAGGGAAGAACAAAUGUGUAAGUAACUAUGCACAUCUUGACGGUACCUAAUCAGAAAGCCACGGCUAACUACGUG